GCCUGGGUGGCUCAGUCGGUUGAGCGUCCGACUUCGGCUCAGGUCAUGAUCUCAUGGUCUGUGGGUUCGAGCCCCGUGUCGGGCU
Molecule: transfer RNA, 85 nt
Filed under: Felis catus (domestic cat)
Lineage: Eukaryota; Metazoa; Chordata; Mammalia; Carnivora; Felidae
Rfam family: tRNA
About the family: Transfer RNA (tRNA) molecules are approximately 80 nucleotides in length. Their secondary structure includes four short double-helical elements and three loops (D, anti-codon, and T loops).
Source: Rfam by way of RNAcentral